This is a long non-coding RNA of Oryzias melastigma (Indian medaka), 695 nucleotides long. RefSeq lists it as uncharacterized. The transcript has 3 exons. Lineage: Eukaryota; Metazoa; Chordata; Actinopteri; Beloniformes; Adrianichthyidae. The record is from RefSeq and is a predicted model, not a curated record.
UUAUUCACCUUGUAGAUUCAGUUGGUUCUUCCUCUAAUUAUCUCUGCAUGUUUGGACGGCGAGAGUUCAUCCAAACUGACUACACUGCAGAACUCUGGAGACUCCGACGACAACUGGGUUUCAUCAAUCCUGGUAUCAAAACCUUCAGCUAGUCCAGGAUAUUACUGCAGGAAACUCCAGGCGGGAAGCGUCUCUCCCAUUCAGGCCUUCGUCUGAUCAGCUUCACAGCCUCCACUCCAGGAGAGGAUAAUCAAGAGUUUAAAGGAAAAGUAAAGCGAGGGGAACACAUUAAGUGUCGGCUGGUGCGGGUAUCAUUUAAAAUCAGCGCUGAUGGCUUCAUUGCUGCCAUGCUGUAACCUUGAGCGAGGGCUGGUGGGGCCCUGGUGACCACGCCGGGAUGGGGAGAGGGAUUGGCUCUCUUUGCAUUCACAUUCAGCUCAGCAGGCACCCGGGGGCUAUAACCCUGAGAAUCCGUAUUAGCCCUCCAUCCCCGUCAGCCUGCAGCUCCUCGCAGGAGAUCCUCCGCUGCCCUGUGGCCUUUUCAACAGGACGGCGAAGAACCCGACAGGCUAUCUUCAUCGUGCACUCGAGUACCGAAGCGAGGGAAGCCGCGGCGCUCGCAUUUCAAAAGCAGCUGCUCCUGCAGGCCCGAUAAAGGACUCCUGGCUCGGCACAUGUGGAAAUAAACUGACAAA